RNAcentral lists this ribosomal RNA (253 nucleotides) under uncultured prokaryote. RNAcentral's name for it is "partial 16S ribosomal RNA". It matches the Rfam family "Bacterial small subunit ribosomal RNA", at positions 524 to 776 of the family's 1533-position model. The record is from RNAcentral.
GACGUAGGGGGCGAGCGUUGUCCGGAAUCACUGGGCGUAAAGAGCUCGUAGGCGGGGUUGCGCGUCGCGGAGUAAAUCCAUCUGCUCAACGGGUGGUUCAUCUGCGAUACGGCGACUCUUGAGGACAGGAGAGGAAAGCAGAAUUCCGAGUGUAGCGGUGAAAUGCGUAGAUAUUCGGAGGAAUACCAGUGGCGAAGGCGGCUUUCUGGCCUGAUUCUGACGCUGAGGAGCGAAAGCCAGGGGAGCAAACGGG